RNAcentral lists this long non-coding RNA (573 nucleotides) under Daucus carota (carrot). RNAcentral's name for it is "long non-coding RNA (DCAR_LNC005544)". The record is from RNAcentral. Lineage: Eukaryota; Viridiplantae; Streptophyta; Magnoliopsida; Apiales; Apiaceae.
GCUAUCGACUUCUUUUCAGCUGCGCAAUUUCUUGAGGUAAUAAAAUAAUAUGCGACUAAAUGGUGCAGCCUUCUUCUUCCUUAAUUUACUUUGUAGUCUUUAUUAAGUAACAUAUCUGGCAGAAAUAAUUGCUCAAAUAUGUCAAAUUGUACUCUGUGAUGUGGAUCUAAUUGGAAUCAAUCAAUUCUAUAUCAGUUUCAGGUUUAAACUUGCUUUGAUUAUCUUAUACAUGAUGGGUAAUAAAGUCUCUAAUAGUUAUUCUGUCCUCUUCUGCAGCAAUGUACUAUGAUUCAUAAGCUUUCAUAUGUGAAUUUUUAUUUUUAUUUUUGUAGAAAGGUGAUUUAUGAGCUGUUAUCUUCUUCCACUUUAUGAGUUUGUCAAAAGCAAUAAUAUGGUAUGUGUCUUUUCUGGAUUUCUCCAUCAUUUUCUCUGGUGAAGUUUCUUCUACUUUUGGUGAAAUUCUCUUAUUACUUUUCCCUAUAUUCCUAUCCAAGAACUCAAGUGGGGGAAAAUAUACUCAUUUCAGUCCUUUACCAGGAAUUCAGAACUCUUUUCUCUUUUCUAAUAUCCCAG